UGCUUAAUUUAAUAUUCUCAAUAUUACAUUUAAUAAUAUGUACGCAAUUUGUGCACAGAUUUUUAGUUGGACAAAUUUAUCUGGCCUUAUUUUUAAUAAUAAUUUCCUUUUCCAGGUCUGUAACAAGAUGCCCAUGGAAGUUUGUUUGGGUUUGAGUGGGAACGCGACCUCGCCUCGUUGUGGACAAGCUAUCAUAAUAUUUACACGGAGGUGUCUUUGGUGGAUUGGUGAUGCCGGCCAUUGACGGUUCGGGCUGUCCCUCAGACUGGUGGAUGGCGUCCUCCGGCUCCUCUCUGUGUUCGGCGGGAUACGGAUCGGCUCCAACAUGGACAUGCUGGGUAUGGGCGGAGACGAUAUGGUAUGUGGAGACGAGGUGGUCGGCGGGGUUGACGCAUCGGGGAUUGCAGCAAUGCUGGUGACUGGCUCCGAAUGAUGUGCGUCCGGAUGGGAAACAGACGAGUCUGGAUUGGUGUUGUCCAUCGUGAACCAAUAAAUCCGCGGAUAAUAGUAUGGAAUUUAAGAAGCAGUUCAGUAGUAUGUGAGCAGACAAGUGAAUCGAUGCUGAUUCGCGUAAAAUUAGAUAAGUGAUGAGAUAAGUGAACAACAAAUAUUUAUCACAGUGAUUAGUGCCACGAGAUGACUAGAGGAUAAUUCAGUGCACGUUGACCUUCAAUUGUUCGAGGUAAACAUAUAAACAUUAAAAAUUAACAAUAAAAAUAUGACAUAUAAUACUAACAUAUAGCAAUUGCCUGUGAGGUAGGAUACGAAACCUUCUUGUUUUAUAAUUUUCGUGUGGUUCAGUCCACAUACAAAAUUGAUCUGUUCAAUCUCAAGUUCGUUCUUUCUCUCCCCUAAAAAUUCAUCACUAGUUGACAAAUCUUUUACCCACAUUGAUCAUGCAGGGCACGGCUUAUCAAUAAUUGGGGUUCUGUGUCCCUCUAGUUUGAUUAGGAUUGUUAUGAUGAAUAUUCAGGCUAAGUUUGACAAGUUGGGAUUGAUCCAAAGUUUGAAAAAAUUUCUGGGUACUAGUGAAAUAAUUAUGUAAUCUAAUAGUGUAGCUGUACAUGCCUAGGGUUCUCAUCAGAGGCCCCACGUUGGGCGCCAUGUGUCAAAUCCCAGUCUCUGGAGGGGCGUCAUGUGUCAUGAUCUUACUCCAAAGGGGGGACACGGAAAUGUAUAAUUUGAACUAUAUGAUAAUAAAUUAGGGUUAUAAUUGUUCAGCCAAGAAUACGAUUCCUUCGUAUAGUGGGUCUUACCUUGGGUUGACGACUAUUGCAACCUAUUUUGCUCCGUAGAGAGGGGAGGACGUACAGUAAAAAAAAAAAA
Long non-coding RNA from Nilaparvata lugens (brown planthopper), 1326 nucleotides. RefSeq lists it as uncharacterized. Lineage: Eukaryota; Metazoa; Arthropoda; Insecta; Hemiptera; Delphacidae. The record is from RefSeq and is a predicted model, not a curated record. The transcript is spliced from 3 exons.